CCUUAACACUUUCACUACUGAUUUUAUUUUUUCCGCGGGUUUCUGUGGCCGAGGCAAAUUUGCACGCUCAGAUUCCCCAGCCUGAAUUAAUUUCGUGACCGGUGCUUCAAGAAAAGUUGCAAAUUGAAAAACGUGCUGCAACUCGAGAACGCAGUCUCAGAUCGCCUAAACAACUGAUACAGAAGUUCAAAAGGUUGCUCUGUAAAAGAUUUUCCUAGUGAAUUAAAAUUAAAACAAAAAAUAAUGUCUUUACAAUGCUUGAAAGAUCGAUUUUUGUUACCUUUUUAGCUCAAUGUUGCCAAAAUGUCGACAUUCGGAUGUACUUUUUUACGUUUAAAAUGUGUUUAAACGGAUAUAAUUCAGCAAAUCAUUAUAACCGAGUCUUCUUAUUUAUCUUAUCACUCGUUUUUGUCAUUUAAACAUCGUUUAUAGCAAAACCGAAGCUUUUUAUCUCUCCUAAAUUAACCGUUUGACUUUUCGUUUCCGACCGCCAUUUGUAUUGAUGAAAAGACAACUCUGUCAAUCGACGAACGACUACUCGUUUUCAAAGUGAUAGAUCAUGAUACGAUCAUAUACUCAUAUAUACGGAUACCACGGAUACGUUGUUGAUAUUGUAAACACUGGUAUUAAAGAGUGUUAUUAAACAAACAAGAUAUGUUUGUUGUUUCAUUUUCCCUGGUAAACAUAACAAUACUAUAUAAAAAAAAAAAAAAUCUGCUAAAAAAAAUUAUUUUUGGUUCAAUCAGACAUAUACGUCUCUGGUUCAAUUAGUCCAUGCUGCCUAUUUUAGAAGAAUAAAAAAGCAGAAUAUAGUUGGUCAUGAUUAUCUUUUAUAAGUAGAUAAAACAAAAUGGAUUAAUUAUUUACCAGGGUCAACCAUUAUAUAUAUAUAUAUACAAGUAUUUUUGUAGUUGGUCUUUUUUUCAAAGGUUUGGUGUUUUUUCAACUUCCUCUAUUACCAUGAUUACCAAUAUGCAACAGCUUUGUUCUAGAUUUUCUGAUUAUGUAAUUUGAAAAACUUUUAAUCACUGAGUAUAUAAAAUAUAUUAAAUUACUAUUUUAAUUAUGAUAGAUACUUUAGUUAUCAUAUAUAUACAUGUACAUUGUAAUCAUGUGAAGAAUAAUCACUUACACAAUGAAUUUCUACUCUCAUUACAUAUGUACACAUAUCUGUCAUAUGUUUCAUCCUUUCUUGAUAAUUCAGUGCAGUUUCAUUUUUCCCAUAUCAAGUCACAAAACUUUAGAUUUUGAUAAAAAAUUAAGCAAUAUUUUCCCAUUUAUAUAAUCAGUAUUACAAUUAACUAAGAGAAUUUGAUAACUAAAUUAUGAACUUUCAACAAUAAAAUUUUAACAAACAACAAGAACAAAUUAAAUACAGCAAACUUGACUUCUCUCUUUAUUGUUCCAGUUUGAAGGCAUGUGUGUGAACUUAUGUCUAGUAAUGGCCUUACCCUGCUUACCCCAGCACAAAAUAUCUAUUUAUCAAUCCUUUUUACCAGCAAACAAGAAAACUGAAGAAAUUUUAGGUUGGAUGAAUGGUAAAUAAUAUGUAGGCAUUACAAAUUUAACUAUCCCAAGUAAAAUGAAAUAUACUUUUUUGAGCCAUUGCAAGGUUUUUUGAUAAUAUCAAUAAUACUAGAUGUAUUGGUCAGCCACCCCUGUUUGAAGGG
RNAcentral lists this long non-coding RNA (1670 nucleotides) under Mytilus galloprovincialis (Mediterranean mussel). Lineage: Eukaryota; Metazoa; Mollusca; Bivalvia; Mytilida; Mytilidae. The record is from RNAcentral.